CUAAAUAUUAGGGGUGUAACAAUACACAAAAAUCACAGUUCCAUACGUAACUCGGUUUUGAGGUCAUGGUUUGGUUAAUUUUCGGUACAGUAUGGGAACAAAAUGCAAAACCUAAAAUUUUUUUUUUCCAAAAUUAAACAUU
Thalassophryne amazonica is the source of this 142-nucleotide long non-coding RNA. RefSeq lists it as uncharacterized. Lineage: Eukaryota; Metazoa; Chordata; Actinopteri; Batrachoidiformes; Batrachoididae. The record is from RefSeq and is a predicted model, not a curated record. The transcript is spliced from 3 exons.